AAACAUUUUUUAGCCCCAAGAGGUCGACGACCAGCUGCAUCGUCGACCGCAGUACACCAGCAGAAAGCAUACCAUCAAAAGAAUUGGGUUCAAAAUCAGAACAAGCACCAGAAAAGGUAGAUUAUCAGGGGAGCAAUAGGAGACAUCCCACAGGCCACUAAGGACUUCAUCAAAUCUUCAAGAGACCAGUAUGCUGUUUGCAGUAUAUCAGGAAGUGGAUGUUAUUUACAGACAACAAACCCAUUCAG
This 248-nucleotide unclassified non-coding RNA is filed under the name Anneissia japonica. Its description in RNAcentral is "uncharacterized LOC117104332, transcript variant X1". Lineage: Eukaryota; Metazoa; Echinodermata; Crinoidea; Comatulida; Comatulidae. The record is from RNAcentral.